RNAcentral lists this long non-coding RNA (200 nucleotides) under Ananas comosus (pineapple). RNAcentral's name for it is "long non-coding RNA (ACOM_LNC041286)". The record is from RNAcentral. Lineage: Eukaryota; Viridiplantae; Streptophyta; Magnoliopsida; Poales; Bromeliaceae.
AGCUUCGAAUAUGAAGGUGAUCCGUCAAGAAAAUAGAGCGAGAAGCGGAAUAUAUCUUUCUUCCUUUGUUAGGUCAAAAAUCUACUCUUGUCAUGUUCUGCCCUGUAUGAAAUAAUAAUUACAGGUCAAAAUAAAAUUAAAAUUAAUUCAUCUCGAACUUGGCCCGUUGACAAAAAACAAAGCAAGAGGUGAAAGACCCC